Long non-coding RNA from Pan troglodytes (chimpanzee), 329 nucleotides. RefSeq lists it as uncharacterized. Lineage: Eukaryota; Metazoa; Chordata; Mammalia; Primates; Hominidae. The record is from RefSeq and is a predicted model, not a curated record. The transcript has 3 exons.
UCCAGCCAACUGUGUUCCCAUGUAGAACUGCAGCCCAGUGUAGCCAGUACGGAAGAUUUCUCAGAAAAAGCCGGAGAUCUCAAUGCUGGCUUCUUCCCUCAGCCUCGUCCGACCCCAGCCUGGGUUCAAUGAACAUUCGGUAAAGGAACACGGAAUGUCAAGCGCAUUAGAGACAACCUGGAGACACAUUCCUCUUGCGAUUGUUUCUUCUUCUCCCUCCCAGAAACUUUGAAGUUUUUCUACAUGACACCAGGACCAAUGUCUUUUUUUAAUUACACAGAAAUGAAAGAAAAAAAGUGUGUUGUAUCGUUAACCAAAUAUAUGAAAUC